UACGGAGGGUGCAAGCGGUAUUCGGAAUUACUGGGCGUAAAGAGCGCGUAGGCGGUUUCUUAAGUCAGAUGUGAAAGCCUUCCGCUUAACGGAAGAAGUGCAUUUGAAACUGAGAGGCUUGAGUAUGGGAGAGGGAAGUGGAAUUCCUGGUGUAGCGGUGAAAUGCGUAGAUAUCAGGAGGAACACCGGUGGCGAAGGCGACUUCCUGGACCAAUACUGACGCUGAGGCGCGAAGGCGUGGGGAGCAAACAGG
RNAcentral lists this ribosomal RNA (253 nucleotides) under uncultured bacterium. RNAcentral's name for it is "partial 16S ribosomal RNA". It matches the Rfam family "Bacterial small subunit ribosomal RNA", at positions 524 to 776 of the family's 1533-position model. The record is from RNAcentral.